GAUGAAGAACGCAGCGAAAUGCGAUACGUAAUGUGAAUUGCAGAAUUCAGUGAAUCAUCGAAUCUUUGAACGCAUAUUGCGCUCUCUGGUAUUCCGGAGAGCAUGCUUGUUUGAGUAUCAGUAAACACCUCAACUUCCAUAUCUUUUUUGAAAUGGGAGUUGGACUUGAGAGAUCCCAACGCUUUUCCUCACCGAAAAGUGGCGGGUUACUUGAAAUGCAGGUGCAGCUGGACUUUUCUCUGAGCUAUAAGCAUAUCUAUUUAGUCUGCCUAAAAAACAGAUUAUUACCUUUGCUGCAGCUAACAUAAAGGAGAUUAGUUCUUGUGCUGACUGAUGCAGGAUUCACAAAGACGGCUUCGGCCGACUUUGUAAACUCGAUCUCAAAUCAAGUAAGACUACCCGCUGAACUUAAGCAUAUCAAUAAGCGGGGA
RNAcentral lists this unclassified non-coding RNA (431 nucleotides) under soil metagenome. Its description in RNAcentral is "partial contains 5.8S ribosomal RNA, internal transcribed spacer 2, and large subunit ribosomal RNA". The stretch from base 1 to 120 matches the Rfam family "5.8S ribosomal RNA", at positions 35 to 154 of the family's 154-position model. The record is from RNAcentral.